This 266-nucleotide long non-coding RNA is filed under the name Olea europaea (common olive). RNAcentral's name for it is "long non-coding RNA (OEUR_LNC013345)". Lineage: Eukaryota; Viridiplantae; Streptophyta; Magnoliopsida; Lamiales; Oleaceae. The record is from RNAcentral.
CUCUCUCUCUCUCAUAGCCGUUAGAAGCAAUGGUUGGAGACCACCGUAGUGAUGAGUAUAGGCUACCAUGAUGACGUCAUUGCGGUGGCAUGAGCGCCGUUGCACCCACUGUGCAGAGUGCGUAGCAGCGAUGAUGUCGCUAUGCACGGAGUGAGCGCAUCUCCACAAUUUGGGAAAAAUCUGGUGCUGCGAGAUCUGGAGGCUUGAGCAGUGGCGCGCACCCACUUUGAGACUAGAAGAUCUAUUUUUUUUUUUUUUUUUUUUUU